GACUCUGUCUCAAAAAAAAAAAAAAAAAAAAAAAAAAAAAGUCCUCUCAGGGGCACCCCAUUGAAUCCAGGCUGUUAUUCCGUUAUUCCGACUCUCACUGUCCUACUAAACCUUAAGCCAGCUGGCCCCUUUGUGUAUCUCCUGUCUCAUUUCAGCUAACUGUCCCUCACUAACCCUUUCUCCGCUCCCACACCCACUUGCUCCCAGCUUGCUUUCACCUUCAGGGGCUUUGUGCUAGCUGAUCCACUUGCCAGGUACUCUUUCCCCAAAGUUAUCUCCUAUUUGCAUUUACCUCAGUUUAAAUGUUACACUUCUAAAAUAUCUUUUCUGGCCGGGAACGGUGGCUCACACCUGUAAUCCCAGCACUUUAGGAGGCCGAGGUAGGUGGAUCUCAUUUGAGGUCAGGAGUUCGUGACCAGCCUGGCCAACAUGGUGAAACUCCAUCUUUACUAAAACAAAAAAUUAGCUGGGCAUGGUGGCACACACCUGUAAUCCCAGCUACUCAGGCGGCUGAGGCAGGAAAAUUGCUUCAAUCCAAGGGGCAGAGGUUGCAGUGCGCCGAGAUCGUGCCAUUGCACUCAGCCUGAGCGACAGAGCAAGACUUCAUUCAUCU
This 613-nucleotide long non-coding RNA is filed under the name Homo sapiens (human). RNAcentral's name for it is "non-protein coding lnc-MCM9-1:1". Lineage: Eukaryota; Metazoa; Chordata; Mammalia; Primates; Hominidae. The record is from RNAcentral.